AAUACGGAGGGGGCGAGCGUUAUUCGGAAUUAUUGGGCGUAAAGGGCGCGUAGGCGGCUUGAUAAGUCAAAGGUGAAAUCCCUCGGCUCAACUGAGGAACUGCCUUUGAAACUGUCGGGCUUGAGGCCGGGAGGGGGUAGCGGAAUUCCCAGUGUAGCGGUGAAAUGCGUAGAUACUGGGAGGAACACCGGUGGCGAAGGCGGCUACCUGGACCGGUUCUGACGCUGAGGCGCGAAAGCGUGGGUAGCAAACAGGA
RNAcentral lists this ribosomal RNA (256 nucleotides) under uncultured prokaryote. RNAcentral describes it as "partial 16S ribosomal RNA". It matches the Rfam family "Bacterial small subunit ribosomal RNA", at positions 522 to 777 of the family's 1533-position model. The record is from RNAcentral.